AUGGUCUUCGCCCUCGUGAGGAGACCAAGCAUCAGUCACAGCAACACAACAAUGGAUCUAUACAGAGAAUCACAACAGAAUGCAUUUCCACUGCUCCAGAGUCCAGCAUUGGCGUGAUUUACACCAAACCAUCCGAUGCUUGCCAUUGUGCAAUUUGAUCUUGGGCUUGUGUGAAGCCGCUCGGCCAUGGAAACCCAUUCCAUGAAGCUCCUAUUUGCUGAUGUUGCUUCCAGAGGCAAUUUGGAUCUCUUUAGUGAGAUAUUCAACAGAAGAUAGGCACUGCGCUUCGCUUGGUGGCUAAGCUGUUGUCGAUGCUUCCAUUUCACAAUAACAGCACUUACAGUUGUCUAGGGCAGAUCUAGCCAGACAGAUAAUUCACACAUUAUAUAGUGUGUGUGUGUGUGUGAGUAUAUGUAUCGUUGCUGUCGAAAGAAAUUUUAAAAAUGUUCCACAAAAAAUAUACUUUGACAAAUGAAACCUCAUAAAUCUAAUCAUUGUA
Molecule: long non-coding RNA, 499 nt
Organism: Pygocentrus nattereri (red-bellied piranha)
Lineage: Eukaryota; Metazoa; Chordata; Actinopteri; Characiformes; Serrasalmidae
Exons: 2
Source: RefSeq, a predicted model, not a curated record